GGGCCCAGUCGGAGCUUAACGUUGCAGUUGCGAGAGUGGUGACAGCAACGGUGACAGCAACGCGGCAGCGUUCGGUCGACCCGCUGCGGCACUCCGGAUUCUACGACCUGCAGGGACAGUCUCUCCCGUCCAUGCCCGGACGGACUUUUAAUCCGCGGGUCGAGGGUUCGAUCCCCUCCGGGCCCA
Molecule: transfer RNA, 186 nt
Filed under: Brachybacterium kimchii
Lineage: Bacteria; Bacillati; Actinomycetota; Actinomycetes; Micrococcales; Dermabacteraceae
Description: Brachybacterium sp. CBA3104 tRNA-Lys
Rfam family: tRNA (bases 113-186)
Source: RNAcentral